Molecule: non-coding RNA, 623 nt
Organism: Heterocephalus glaber (naked mole-rat)
Lineage: Eukaryota; Metazoa; Chordata; Mammalia; Rodentia; Bathyergidae
Source: RefSeq, a predicted model, not a curated record
ACAGGCUGCUGGCCGGAGGCCUCUCUCCUUGGUCAUGUGAGCAUCUCCACAGAUUAACUAACUGCUUGAAGGACUUCGUGACCUGCCAGCUGGCUUCCCCCAGAGCAAGUGACCUUAGGGAGCACAGUGGACUCCAGUGUCUUUCAUAACCUUGUGUUGUGCUAUGGUUUGGACGUGUUUGUCCCUCGACAGUUCCUGUGCAGGAAGCUGCUGCCCACUACUGAGAUGGAGAAGAGCUGUUAUAUCACCUGAACCCUGUCUAACUGAGGAAUUAUGAGACGUUUUCCACAGUGGCUGCACCAUUUCACAUUUCCACUAGAGGACUGCAGCUUCCCCACAUCAUGGCCAACAACUGUCAUUUUCUGUCUUUCCGGUUGCAGCCACCCUACUACCACCCGCUACGUGGCAUCUCAUUGUUUCGCCUAAUGACUUACAAUGGACAAAAUUAACUAGGAGACCAACCAAAUAAGAAACAACUUUGAACACAGCUGGUGAACUGUCAGUCUUAUGGCAUAAGACAACAACAACAAGAACAACAAAACCAACACUGAAGUUUUAUUAAUGAAAAAAAUACUCCUGUAAUUAAUUAACAAAAUGCACACAGUAAUAACUGUACAAUUCCU